CCUACGGGCGGCUGCAGUGGGGAAUAUUGCACAAUGGGCGCAAGCCUGAUGCAGCCAUGCCGCGUGUGUGAAGGAGGCCUUCGGGUUGUAAAGCACUUUCAGCGGGGAGGAAGGCGGUGAGGUUAAUAACCUCAUCGAUUGACGUUACCCGCAGAAGAAGCACCGGCUAACUCCGUGCCAGCAGCCGCGGUAAUACGGAGGGUGCAAGCGUUAAUCGGAAUUACUGGGCGUAAAGCGCACGCAGGCGGUCUGUCAAGUCGGAUGUGAAAUCCCCGGGCUCAACCUGGGAACUGCAUUCGAAACUGGCAGGCUAGAGUCUUGUAGAGGGGGGUAGAAUUCCAGGUGUAGCGGUGAAAUGCGUAGAGAUCUGGAGGAAUACCGGUGGCGAAGGCGGCCCCCUGGACAAAGACUGACGCUCAGGUGCGAAAGCGUGGGGAGCAAACAGGAUUAGAUACCCCUGUAGUC
This 465-nucleotide ribosomal RNA is filed under the name uncultured Klebsiella sp. RNAcentral's name for it is "bacterial SSU rRNA". It matches the Rfam family "Bacterial small subunit ribosomal RNA", at positions 338 to 795 of the family's 1533-position model. The record is from RNAcentral. Lineage: Bacteria; Pseudomonadati; Pseudomonadota; Gammaproteobacteria; Enterobacterales; Enterobacteriaceae.